Molecule: ribosomal RNA, 327 nt
Filed under: uncultured eukaryote
Lineage: Eukaryota
Description: partial 18S ribosomal RNA
Rfam family: Eukaryotic small subunit ribosomal RNA
Source: RNAcentral
CCCUUAGAUGUUCUGGGCCGCACGCGCGCUACACUGACGAAUGCAACGAGCUCAUAACCUUGGCCGAAAGGUCUGGGUAAUCUCCAAAUUUCGUCGUGAUGGGGAUAGAUUAUUGCAAUUAUUAAUCUUCAACGAGGAAUGCCUAGUAAGCGCAAGUCAUCAGCUUGCGUUGAUUACGUCCCUGCCCUUUGUACACACCGCCCGUCGCUCCUACCGAUUGAAUGGUCCGGUGAAGCGCUCGGACCGCGGCCUCUUGACGGUUCGCUGUCGAUUGGCUGUGGGAAGUUCGUUAAACCUUAUCAUUUAGAGGAAGGAGAAGUCGUAACA